UACGGAGGGUGCAAGCGUUAUCCGGAUUCACUGGGUUUAAAGGGUGCGUAGGCGGGCAGGUAAGUCCGUGGUGAAAUCUCUGAGCUUAACUCAGAAACUGCCAUGGAUACUAUUUGUCUUGAAUAUUGUGGAGGUAAGCGGGAUAUGUCAUGUAGCGGUGAAAUGCUUAGAUAUGACAUAGAACACCAAUUGCGAAGGCAGCUUACUACACAGUUAUUGACGCUGAGGCACGAAAGCGUGGGGAGCAAACAGG
Molecule: ribosomal RNA, 253 nt
Filed under: uncultured bacterium
Lineage: Bacteria
Description: partial 16S ribosomal RNA
Rfam family: Bacterial small subunit ribosomal RNA
Source: RNAcentral